Long non-coding RNA from Myripristis murdjan (pinecone soldierfish), 979 nucleotides. RefSeq lists it as uncharacterized. The transcript is spliced from 3 exons. The record is from RefSeq and is a predicted model, not a curated record. NCBI's taxonomy places the organism in Eukaryota, Metazoa, Chordata, Actinopteri, Holocentriformes, Holocentridae.
AGGCGCGGAGGCCGUGAACCUGACCGCGAGCGGCCCCGAACACGAGCCGCUGAACGGCGGCGGCUCUUCAUCCGGUUUGGUGCCAUAAAUCAUCCGAGCGGCCGGCAGAUAAUCUGCAGCUGGAACCCGGACCACCGCGCGCCUUCCUCAGGUUGAUGCAGACCCCAGCCUACCUGUGGAUGAUUGCACCGGCGUGUCCGACUCGUGGAAAGCCUGCAGCGCCGCGGACUCCUUCCCCUGCAGGAAGCUCUUCCCGUCAUCCGCGUCCAGCCGGAUGUCCUGAGUUUUGUCGAAGACGGCGUGCAGAGCCUGCGAGCCAAACUUCCUGGCCGCCUCCUGGUGCUGCUGGCCGGACGGGGAGAAGCCGCCGGGCAGCGACGCCAUGAGCGUGGAGGUGAGCGCCAUGCCCUGCGUCAAGCCCUGCGCCAGGCUGGAGCAGAAGCCGCUCUGCAGGCUGGGGAUCUGGUGGUGCGGGUGAUGGCCGGUCGGCAGAGCCUGCUGGAGGCCCGGGGGCGGCGGCGGCGGCGGCUGGAGCACCACUGACCGAUACGGCAUGAACAUGGGGUAGCCAGUGUAGACGAAGUGUCCCGGGCUGGGCUGCGGGGGCCCCCCGAUCAGAGAGUCGAUGCUGAAGGCAGUGGUGCUUCCGAGUGGCCGCUGCAUCACCAUGAAGGACGGGCUGAACGCUGCACUCAUAUGAACCAGCGCUGGAGCUCGGAGGGAGAAGAAGAGGUGCAGGGGGCGGCGAGGGAGGGACGGGCGACCCCCCCUUGGACGGGACCGGCCGGGGGUGUCACAGCCUGGCGGAUGGAUCGACAACCGGAGCUCAGAGAACAGCGCCGUAAUUGUUCCAGAAUGGAGGUGUUUCUGUCCUGUGUGUGUUUGUAGUGUGUGUGUGUGUAAGAAAGACAAGCAGAGGCAUUGUUGUGUGUGUGUGUACACCUGAGUUUCUCCUACUGUUGAUCAGGGGAAACAUGAC